This 969-nucleotide ribosomal RNA is filed under the name Streptococcus iniae. Its description in RNAcentral is "bacterial SSU rRNA". It matches the Rfam family "Bacterial small subunit ribosomal RNA", at positions 173 to 1148 of the family's 1533-position model. The record is from RNAcentral. Lineage: Bacteria; Bacillati; Bacillota; Bacilli; Lactobacillales; Streptococcaceae.
AUGACACUAGAGUACACAUGUACUUAAGUUAAAAGGAGCAAGUGCUUCACUAUGAGAUGGACCUGCGUUGUAUUAGCUAGUUGGUGAGGUAACGGCUCACCAAGGCGACGAUACAUAGCCGACCUGAGAGGGUGAUCGGCCACACUGGGACUGAGACACGGCCCAGACUCCUACGGGAGGCAGCAGUAGGGAAUCUUCGGCAAUGGACGGAAGUCUGACCGAGCAACGCCGCGUGAGUGAAGAAGGUUUUCGGAUCGUAAAGCUCUGUUGUUAGAGAAGAACGGUAGUGGGAGUGGAAAAUCCAUUACGUGACGGUAACUAACCAGAAAGGGACGGCUAACUACGUGCCAGCAGCCGCGGUAAUACGUAGGUCUCGAGCGUUGUCCGGAUUUAUUGGGCGUAAAGCGAGCGCAGGCGGCUCUAUAAGUCUGAAGUAAAAGGCAGUGUCUCAACCAUUGUAUGCUUUGGAAACUGUAGAACUUGAGUGCAGAAGGGGAGAGUGGAAUUCCAUGUGUAGCGGUGAAAUGCGUAGAUAUAUGGAGGAACACCGGUGGCGAAAGCGUCUCUCUGGUCUGUAACUGACGCUGAGGCUCGAAAGCGUGGGGAGCAAACAGGAUUAGAUACCCUGGUAGUCCACGCCGUAAACGAUGAGUGCUAGGUGUUAGGCCCUUUCCGGGGCUUAGUGCCGCAGCUAACGCAUUAAGCACUCCGCCUGGAGAGUACGACCGCAAGGUUGAAACUCAAAGGAAUUGACGGGGGCCCGCACAAGCGGUGGAACAUGGGGUUAAUUCGAAGCACGCGAAAACCUUACCAGGUCUUGACUCCCUCUGACCGUCUAAAAAUAGGAUUUCCUUCGGGACAAAGAAACAGGGGUGCAUGGUUGCCUCCCCUCGGGCCGGAAAUGUGGGUUAAGUCCCGAACGAGCGCACCCCUAUUGUAGUUGCCUUAUUAAGUGGGCCUUUAGGAAUU